UGCGGUUUAGUGUAACAGUAACAUAUUUGACUCAUGAUCAAAAGAUAAAGGUGCGAGUCCUUUCUCCGCGUGCAA
Molecule: transfer RNA, 75 nt
Filed under: Pestalotiopsis fici W106-1
Lineage: Eukaryota; Fungi; Ascomycota; Sordariomycetes; Amphisphaeriales; Sporocadaceae
Description: tRNA-Met (CAT) (tRNA-Met-CAT-5-1)
Rfam family: tRNA
About the family: Transfer RNA (tRNA) molecules are approximately 80 nucleotides in length. Their secondary structure includes four short double-helical elements and three loops (D, anti-codon, and T loops).
Source: RNAcentral